CCUACGGGAGGCAGCAGUGGGGAAUAUUGGGCAAUGGGCGCAAGCCUGACCCAGCAACGCCGCGUGAAGGAAGAAGGCUUUCGGGUUGUAAACUUCUUUUAUCAGGGACGAAGCAAGUGACGGUACCUGAUGAAUAAGCCACGGCUAACUACGUGCCAGCAGCCGCGGUAAUACGUAGGUGGCAAGCGUUAUCCGGAUUUACUGGGUGUAAAGGGCGUGUAGGCGGGAGUGCAAGUCAGAUGUGAAAACUAUGGGCUCAACCCAUAGCCUGCAUUUGAAACUGUACUUCUUGAGUGCUGGAGAGGCAAUCGGAAUUCCGUGUGUAGCGGUGAAAUGCGUAGAUAUACGGAGGAACACCAGUGGCGAAGGCGGUCUGCUGGACAGCAACUGACGCUGAGGCGCGAAAGCGUGGGGAGCAAACAGGAUUAGAUACCCGAGUAGUC
RNAcentral lists this ribosomal RNA (443 nucleotides) under uncultured bacterium. RNAcentral's name for it is "partial 16S ribosomal RNA". It matches the Rfam family "Bacterial small subunit ribosomal RNA", at positions 338 to 795 of the family's 1533-position model. The record is from RNAcentral.